CCCGCUGAACUUAAGCAUAUCAGUAAGCGGAGGAAAAGAAACUAACAAGGAUUCCCCUAGUAACGGCGAGUGAAGCGGGAACAGCUCAAAUUUAAAAUCUGGCGUCCUUGGACGUCCGAAUUGUAAUUGAGAGGGUCUCCUUUGGAUGACCUGAAUGGCCAAAGUUCUCUGGAAAGGGACAACAAAGAGGGUGACAUUCCCGUCUGGGUCAUUUAGGAAUUCCGCAUAAAGGGGGCUCCAAGAGUCGGAUUGUUUGGGAAUGCAGUCCAAAAUGGGUGGUACAUUUCAUCUAAAGCUAAAUAUUGGCAAGAGGCCGAUAGCGAACAAGUACCGUGAGGGAAAGAUGAAAAGAACUUUGAAAAGAGAGUUAAAUAGUACGUGAAAUUGUUAAAAGGGAAACGAUUGAGACCAGUGAUGCUACAAGUUCUUGAGCCUUCCCUUUGGGGAUGGUGUUUGAGCUUGUGGCAAGUUGACGCUCCUUUUGGGUGCUGGAUAAGACUACAGGAAAGGUGGCUCUACCCUCGGGUAGCUGCUUUAUAGUCCUGUGGGGAUACAGCGUCUGGGAGGAGACAGGUAGGGUCGCAAGAUUCUCGUCAACGAAAUGGUCUUAAACGACCCGUCUUGAAACACGG
RNAcentral lists this ribosomal RNA (632 nucleotides) under uncultured fungus. RNAcentral describes it as "eukaryotic LSU rRNA". It matches the Rfam family "Eukaryotic large subunit ribosomal RNA", at positions 24 to 664 of the family's 3401-position model. Lineage: Eukaryota; Fungi. The record is from RNAcentral.